GACGAACGCUGGGGGCGUGCUUAACACAUGCAAGUCGAAUGAUGAACCCGGAGCUUGCUCCGGUGGAUUAGUGGCGAACGGGUGAGUAACACGUGAGUAACCUGCCCUUGACUCUGGGAUAACUGCGGGAAACUGUAGCUAAUACCGGAUACGACCCUCGGCGGCAUCGCCAGGGGGUGGAAAGAAUUUCGGUCAAGGAUGGACUCGCGGCCUAUCAGAUAGUUGGUGAGGUAACGGCUCACCAAGGCGACGACGGGUAGCCGGCCUGAGAGGGUGACCGGCCACACUGGGACUGAGACACGGCCCAGACUCCUACGGGAGGCAGCAGUGGGGAAUAUUGCACAAUGGGCGCAAGCCUGAUGCAGCAACGCCGCGUGAGGGAUGACGGCCUUCGGGUUGUAAACCUCUUUUAGUAGGGAAGAAGCGAAAGUGACGGUACCUGCAGAAAAAGCACCGGCUAACUACGUGCCAGCCGCCGCGGUAA
This 484-nucleotide ribosomal RNA is filed under the name uncultured bacterium. RNAcentral's name for it is "partial 16S ribosomal RNA". It matches the Rfam family "Bacterial small subunit ribosomal RNA", at positions 28 to 523 of the family's 1533-position model. The record is from RNAcentral.